RNAcentral lists this ribosomal RNA (271 nucleotides) under uncultured archaeon. Its description in RNAcentral is "partial 16S ribosomal RNA". It matches the Rfam family "Archaeal small subunit ribosomal RNA", at positions 477 to 747 of the family's 1478-position model. The record is from RNAcentral.
CAGCGCCACGAGUGGUAACCGCGAUUAUUGGGCCUAAAGCGUCCGUAGCCGGCCUUGUAAAUCCUUUGUGAAAUUGUUUGGCUUAACCAAACAACGUGCAAGGGACACUGCAAGGCUCGAGACCGGGAGGAGUCAGAAGUAUUCCAGGGGGAGCGGUAAAAUGUUAUAAUCCCUGGAGGACUACCUGUGGCGAAGGCGUCUGACCAGAACGGAUCUGACGGUGAGGGACGAAAGCUAGGGGAGCGAACCGGAUUAGAUACCCGAGUAGUCC